Molecule: ribosomal RNA, 254 nt
Filed under: uncultured Haliscomenobacter sp.
Lineage: Bacteria; Pseudomonadati; Bacteroidota; Saprospiria; Saprospirales; Haliscomenobacteraceae
Description: partial 16S ribosomal RNA
Rfam family: Bacterial small subunit ribosomal RNA
Source: RNAcentral
UACGGAGGGUGCAAGCGUUAUCCGGAAUCACUGGGUUUAAAGGGUGCGUAGGCGGUUUUUUAAGUCAGUUGUGAAAUUCCCUCGCUUAACGAGUGGGACUGCGAUUGAUACUGAAGAACUUGAAUCAGGUUGAGGUAGGCGGAAUGAGACAUGUAGCGGUGAAAUGCAUAGAUAUGUCUUAGAACACCGAUUGCGAAGGCAGCUUGCUGGACCUGUAUUGACGCUGAGGCACGAAGGCGUGGGGAGCAAACAGG